ACUAAAUAGAUACCCGGGUAGUCCACGCCCUAAACGAUGUCUACUAGUUGUUGGUGGAGUAAAAUCCAUGAGUAAACGCAGCUAAACGCGUGAAGUAGACCGCCUGGGGAGUACGGUCGCAAGAUUAAAACUCAAAGGAAUUGACGGGGGCCCGGCACAAGCGGUGGAUUAUGUGGAUUAAUUACGAUGCAACGCGAAAAACCUUAACCUGGCCGUUGACAUGCCACUAACGAAGCAGAGAUGCAUUAGGUGCCGUAACGGGAAAGUGGACACAGGUGCUGCAUGGCUGUCGUCAGCUCGUGUCGUGAGAUGUUGGGUUAAGUCCCGCAACGAGCGCAACCCUUGCCACUUAAUUGCCAUCAUUUAGUUGGGCACUUUAAUGGGACUGCCGGUGACAAACCGGAGGAAGGUGGGGAUGACGUCAAGUCCUCAUGGCCCGUUAUGGCCGAGGGCUUCACACGGCAAUACAAUGGUCGGUACAGAGAGUUGCCAACCCGCGAGGGGAGCUAAUCUCAGAAAGCCGAUCGUAGUCCGGAUUGUUCUCUGC
This 547-nucleotide ribosomal RNA is filed under the name uncultured bacterium. RNAcentral describes it as "bacterial SSU rRNA". It matches the Rfam family "Bacterial small subunit ribosomal RNA", at positions 772 to 1308 of the family's 1533-position model. The record is from RNAcentral.